GAUGAACGCUGGCGGCGUGCCUAAUACAUGCAAGUCGAGCGAACGGACGAGAAGCUUGCUUCUCUGAUGUUAGCGGCGGACGGGUGAGUAACACGUGGAUAACCUACCUAUAAGACUGGGAUAACUUCGGGAAACCGGAGCUAAUACCGGAUGAUAUUUUGAACCGCAUGGUUCAAAAGUGAAAGACGGUCUUGCUGUCACUUAUAGAUGGAUCCGCGCUGCAUUAGCUAGUUGGGAAGGUAACGGCUUACCAAGGCAACGAUGCAUAGCCGACCUGAGAGGGUGAUCGGCCACACGGGAACUGAGACACGGUCCAGGCUCCGACGGGAGGCAGCAGUAGGGAAUCUUCCGCAAUGGGCGAGAGCCUGACGGAGCAACGCCGCGUGAGUGAUGAAGGUCUUCGGAUCGUAAAACUCUGUUAUUAGGGAAGAACAUAUGUGUAAGUAACUGUGCACAUCUUGACGGUACCUAAUCAGAAAGCCACGGCUAACUACGUG
RNAcentral lists this ribosomal RNA (497 nucleotides) under uncultured bacterium. Its description in RNAcentral is "partial 16S ribosomal RNA". It matches the Rfam family "Bacterial small subunit ribosomal RNA", at positions 28 to 507 of the family's 1533-position model. The record is from RNAcentral.